Molecule: ribosomal RNA, 426 nt
Filed under: uncultured bacterium
Lineage: Bacteria
Description: bacterial SSU rRNA
Rfam family: Bacterial small subunit ribosomal RNA
Source: RNAcentral
GACGAACGCUGGCGGCGUGCCUAACACAUGCAAGUCGAACGAGAUUCAUGGGAGCUUGCUCCCGGAAGAUCUAGUGGCGAACGGGUGAGUAACACGUGAGAAACCUGCCCUGGAGUGGGGAAUAACUCGGGGGAAACUCGAGCUAAUACCGCAUACCCUCGGAUGGUCGCAUGGCCGACCGAGGAAAGAUUUAUCGCUCUAGGAGGGUCUCGCGGCCUAUCAGCUAGUUGGUGGGGUAACGGCCUACCAAGGCAACGACGGGUAGCUGGUUUGAGAGAACGAUCAGCCACACUGGGACUGAGACACGGCCCAGACUCCUACGGGAGGCAGCAGUGGGGAAUCUUGCGCAAUGGGCGAAAGCCUGACGCAGCAACGCCGCGUGCGGGAUGACGGCCUUCGUGGUUGUAACCGACUUUCAGCAGGGAC